CAAAUUCUUGCAUAAAAAAGGCUAUGUGAUGCAGAUGGAGAAAUGUAGAAAUGUGAAAAUAUUAAAAUGACAAUUCUUCUUUCAUUUCUGCCCCUGGUUUAGGACCAUUGUGAUGUAAUCUGAUUUAGGACUUUGAGACAUUGUGUGAGCCAUCCUCUGAGGCUGAUUUCGACUCUUUCAGCAAAUGCUCUUCUCUCUGGCUUCAAGUUGCUGCAAUCAUUCAUUGAGGUAACAGUACAAAGCUGCCAAUUUGAAAAUAAGGCUUUGCUCAGUAGCAGAAGAAAAUGAGAAAUUCAAGGAAAGCACCUUGUCUGUGUCACACCCUGGGAUGAACUGCACUUGUCAGUGGAAGAUACAGCAGGAAGAAAACUCCAGAGAAAUUGCAAGAUCCAUUUGUAACAAGCAUAAUAAAUAUCAAUAAAUUGAAUGGUCAGGAAUAGCACCUACAUAAACAGGAUGUGGCAACUGGAGUGAGCAUAUUAAACUAUACUCAUCAAAUGAUCAGAUUUGCAGUGGGACAA
RNAcentral lists this long non-coding RNA (521 nucleotides) under Zonotrichia albicollis (white-throated sparrow). RNAcentral describes it as "lncRNA (ENSZALG00000007202.1)". The record is from RNAcentral. Lineage: Eukaryota; Metazoa; Chordata; Aves; Passeriformes; Passerellidae.